CCCGGCUAGCUCAAUCGGUAGAGCGUGAGACUCUUAAUCUCAAGGUUGUGGGUUCGACCCCCACGUUGGGCG
This 72-nucleotide transfer RNA is filed under the name Rhizophagus irregularis DAOM 181602=DAOM 197198. RNAcentral's name for it is "tRNA-Lys". It matches the Rfam family "tRNA". From Rfam's summary of the family: Transfer RNA (tRNA) molecules are approximately 80 nucleotides in length. Lineage: Eukaryota; Fungi; Glomeromycota; Glomeromycetes; Glomerales; Glomeraceae. The record is from RNAcentral.